GAUGAACGCUGGCGGCGUGCCUAAUACAUGCAAGUCGAGCGAACAGACGAGGAGCUUGCUCCUCUGACGUUAGCGGCGGACGGGUGAGUAACACGUGGAUAACCUACCUAUAAGACUGGGAUAACUUCGGGAAACCGGAGCUAAUACCGGAUAAUAUAUUGAACCGCAUGGUUCAAUAGUGAAAGACGGUUUUGCUGUCACUUAUAGAUGGAUCCGCGCCGCAUUAGCUAGUUGGUAAGGUAACGGCUUACCAAGGCAACGAUGCGUAGCCGACCUGAGAGGGUGAUCGGCCACACUGGGACAGAGACACGGUCCAGACUCCUACGGGAGGCAGCAGUAGGGAAUCUUCCGCAAUGGGCGAAAGCCUGACGGAGCAACGCCGCGUGAGUGAUGAAGGUCUUCGGAUCGUAAAACUCUGUUAUUAGGGAAGAACAAAUGUGUAAGUAACUAUGCACGUCUUGACGGUACCUAAUCAGAAAGCCACGGCUAACUAAGUGCCAGCCGCCGCAGUAA
This 513-nucleotide ribosomal RNA is filed under the name uncultured bacterium. RNAcentral's name for it is "partial 16S ribosomal RNA". It matches the Rfam family "Bacterial small subunit ribosomal RNA", at positions 28 to 523 of the family's 1533-position model. The record is from RNAcentral.